Molecule: ribosomal RNA, 202 nt
Filed under: Lactobacillus sp. L37
Lineage: Bacteria; Bacillati; Bacillota; Bacilli; Lactobacillales; Lactobacillaceae
Description: partial 16S ribosomal RNA
Rfam family: Bacterial small subunit ribosomal RNA
Source: RNAcentral
UACUGCUGCCUCCCGUAGGAGUAGGGGGAAUCUUCCACAAUGGACGCAAGUCUGAUGGAGCAACGCCGCGUGAGUGAAGAAGGCUNUCGGGUCGUAAAACUCUGUUGUUGGAGAAGAAUGGUCGGCAGAGUAACUGUUGUCGGCNNGACGGUAUCCAACCAGAAAGCCACGGCUAACUACNUGCCAGCAGCCGCGGUAAUAC